Molecule: long non-coding RNA, 976 nt
Organism: Trematomus bernacchii (emerald rockcod)
Lineage: Eukaryota; Metazoa; Chordata; Actinopteri; Perciformes; Nototheniidae
Exons: 15
Source: RefSeq, a predicted model, not a curated record
CCUCAGUCAGUCCUCAUUCCUCCGCUGCUCACAAGGCCUUGCGACAGGACCUCUACAAAAUGGAGCUGAACAUUAAAUGGCCUCAGGACAGGAUCUCUGCAGAAUGGAUCUGGACAUUAAAUGGUGGAAGAAGAAGUCUGAGCUGGGAACCUCCUCAGAUCCUCUGCUGUCUCAGAGACAUGAAGCCACAUGUGAAGCUGAACAGACUGCCGAACACAAUCGCCACCUGACGAAAGAUGUGAAGCUGAAACGAGGAGACGACCUCCAGAUGACCUCCAGAUCAGCUGCUCCUCUGAUCCUCCUCUCCUCAUGACCCUGGACUCAGUGACAGGAGCAGGAAGUCGUGAUGAUGCAUGAAGUACUGGGAGGACCAAAUGUCAAACUAAGCUGAUGUUUCAGCCUUAAAGACAUGGAGGACACUCGACUCUGAAGCACUUGCUAACACUUCCUCUCUCUUGAUUGACAGACAGCAGACUGAGGCAGCACACCAUGUGAAGACAUGAAGACCCCCUGCUGUCCAGGAAUCUCCACCUGCAGUCCUCCUGUGUUCCUGAUCGAUCAGCUGUGAGGAUUGAUCAGCUGUGAGGAUUGAUCAGCUGUUCAGACAGACUUCAGGAAAGAGCCUCACCUGUCAGACUGAACAUGGGACACUUGAGGACAUGAAGGAAAGACCCUCCUCUGUCAGACUGAACAUGGGACGUUUGAGGACUUGAAGCUAAGAAGCCCCUUCAGGAUCUGCUCUGGGAUCAGCCUCAUCAGGUGAAGCCCCUCCCCUUCAGGACCAGGAUCUGCUCUGGGAUCAGCCUCUCAUCAGGUGAAGCCCCUCCCCUUCAGGACCAGGAUCUGCUCUGGGAUCAGCCUCAUCAGGUGAAGCCCCUCCCCUUCAGGACCAGGAUCUGCUCUGGGAUCAGCCUCAUCAGGUGCUGAGCUUCAGAGACAUCAAGGCUGUGUUUGUGGAAAUAAAGAGUGAACUGAA